Molecule: long non-coding RNA, 491 nt
Organism: Siniperca chuatsi (mandarin fish)
Lineage: Eukaryota; Metazoa; Chordata; Actinopteri; Centrarchiformes; Sinipercidae
Exons: 2
Source: RefSeq, a predicted model, not a curated record
GACAGACAGACAGGUGAGACAGACAGACAGGUGAGACAGACAGACAGACAGAGAGACAGACAGGUGAGACAGACAGGCAGACAGACAGAGAGACAGACGGGCUGUCAGAUGUUUGUGUACUCGGGGUUGUGUGUGUGUGUGUGUGUGUGAUCUGUUCUGGACUUUGUUCAUGUUUGCUGUGCACAGAUUAAAGUCCGGCUGCUCGGCUUCAAACUAACAGUAACUGGAACAUAAACUUCUCGAGGUUAAACAGAAUAAAACCAAGCGGCUCUGAACGCUAAACCACGAAGGAGCAGCAGCGGAGUCCGUCUCUUCUGACUCGUUCCCAAAAUGUCCGACUGUCUUUAAUGUGACGCGUCUGGCUGAAGCCCGGCGGCCGGGCGAGCUCGCUGAGGUCACGCGCCCCGUGGCACUUUGUUCAGACGGGGUUUUACUGUCGUCUUGGAAAAAGAAGCGUAACAGACUAAAAUAAAAACGCAAACAUUAAGAAA